AUAAAGGUAAACAACAAAAUAGAAAUGCAAACCAAGUUUUAUAGUGGUUCGAUCGUCGCGAGCUACGUCCACUCCCGAUUCCUCUUCCAUCAAGGCCAUCAACAUUCACUAACAAUCUUCUUUCCAAUGGGAGAAGAUCAACUACUCUUACAACUCUAUCUUCUUUUCACAAGCUCAGGAGAGAACCUUCACGCCCCUCUUUUACAAGUGUUCCCUUAC
Molecule: long non-coding RNA, 219 nt
Filed under: Musa acuminata (dwarf banana)
Lineage: Eukaryota; Viridiplantae; Streptophyta; Magnoliopsida; Zingiberales; Musaceae
Description: long non-coding RNA (MACU_LNC003272)
Source: RNAcentral